Molecule: ribosomal RNA, 253 nt
Filed under: uncultured bacterium
Lineage: Bacteria
Description: partial 16S ribosomal RNA
Rfam family: Archaeal small subunit ribosomal RNA
Source: RNAcentral
UACCGGCACCCCGAGUGGUCGGGACGUUUAUUGGGCCUAAAGCAUCCGUAGCCGGUUCUGCAAGUCUUCCGUUAAAUCCAACUGCUUAACAGGUGGGCUGCGGAAGAUACUAUAGAGCUAGGAGGCGGGAGAGGCAAGCGGUACUCGAUGGGUAGGGGUAAAAUCCGUUGAUCCAUUGAAGACCACCAGUGGCGAAGGCGGCUUGCCAGAACGCGCUCGACGGUGAGGGAUGAAAGCUGGGGGAGCAAACCGG